Molecule: long non-coding RNA, 260 nt
Organism: Camelina sativa (false flax)
Lineage: Eukaryota; Viridiplantae; Streptophyta; Magnoliopsida; Brassicales; Brassicaceae
Source: RefSeq, a predicted model, not a curated record
AAGAUCGAGUUACAGGAACACCAUUGAAAGGAGAAGGUUCUGGCAAAUUGAGUUUUUUUGGGGUUGAUUAAUGAACUGAUUGUCACAAGACAAGAAGAACAACAACAUCAACAAGAAUAAGAUGACGCUUAACAUUCGUCGUGAAUCUUCCAAGCUAUGGAAGAGAAUUUGCUCUGCGAUAACGACGGAGAUUGGUCUUCUUGCUGAGAACUUGAGAUAUCUUCUGGCUGGUCCUAUCCAUCAGGAUUCCAAGCAAAUCU